UCUCUCACUCUGUUCUGUCUUGUUUUGUUUACGGGUAUUGGUGUUGAAUAUUAUUAGAGUUUUCUUGCAAUGUUAAUAGUGCUUCUUCAGUAUUCUUGUUCUAAAUAACAUUCUUAACAUAAUGAAAUAGUUUUUCAUCGCUUGAAUGUGUUUUGUGCUAUUAGCUAUUUAACUUGAUUACUACUACCUUAUUCAAAGUGCUGUUGAACGUAAUUCAGACGUUAGCUGAAAAUGAUAUCUACAUUUUAGGCAUGAACCAGAUUGUUAGAGAUUGAGAUACAUGGCAGCAUAUCUGUGUGCAAUACGUCAAUCCUGAUAUGAGUUUGGCAUCCUUCAGUCAUGAUGGACUACGAGUAGUUCUUCAGUUAUAUACCAGAGCCUUCAAGUGUAGCACCUGACAGCUGGGUGGAGAGAGCAGUUUUGUGUGGUCUGCUUAGAAGUGCAUUGAUGCUGGAGUUGCAGCUUGCCUACAGCACUUUCUAAAGUGUAUUCAAAUCUUGGAAGCUGGUUACCAUGCAGAGCUAGGAAUGUUACUAUAGUUGGCCAAACGAAAAUGGGUCCCUCAAGGUCAAAGCUUGCUCUUGACACCACCACCCGUCUCUACCGACACUGUUGCCACUUUGUACUAAGGGUGGCUAGUAAGAGAGAAAGUGAAUGUGUGUGUGAGAGAGGGUGUGAUAGUGAAGUAGACUAUUGUUAUUGUGGGGAGUAUUGUUUGUCUUCUCUGUCCAAAGCCUGGAUGAAGUGUGAUGGGAAUCAAAUUCAUGCAAAUUGAAAAAUGCUGAGUGAAGUGGGCACUACUAGAAUAUUGACUAAAAUAAAUAAAAUUACAUCACUUCACUUCCAAUUGAUGAUUAUAAAAGUCUUCAUGUAACUUUUAUGAAGUAAUAGCUCAGUUUAUAAAUAGUUGCAUUUAUAAAGAAAAAUCUAAUCAUCAUUAUAAAAUUGGAUUUCUUGAUGUCAUGAUUCAAGAAAGAGUUAUACAUUAUACAUAACAAUAUUCUUUCCUUCAUUUCAUGAUGUUGAAGAAUAUAGCGGAUGAUGGGAGGAGGUAACGGGGGAUGUUAUUGAUCUAACUUCAAAGAAUGACACAAUAGAACUUUUGAACCUGACGUGCUCAAAAGAAUUUGUGACUGGUAGUGACGGAAAAGAGGAAGAGGGAAGGUAUGAGAAGGAAAGAACGAUGUUCAGGGUGUAGAAAUAUAGUCAAUGCAUAUAGACUGGUCGAGUGAGGGGUGGCCACCAGUGGCAACAUUGCAGUGGCCUUGAGAGACCCAUUUUCGCUUGGUCAACUAUAGCCUACUUUGAGGGUCAACUUCUCCGAUUAUCAUGGCGGUAGAUUAUCAUCUGUCACCAAUGAGGGAAGAUAACUUCAUUUUUUGUAGUCACAGGACUUGAGGAACGCGAGUUGGCAGUCACAUUAACUCUGGCAUUCGAAAACAUUGAUCCUAUUCUUCAUUUUAUGUUAUUUCAUCAAAUUAUUCGUUCUUUUAUGAUUUCUUCGUUCAUCUUAAUAUUUUAUGUUUUACUCAUUAGUAAUAAUAUAGUUUUAUGUUUUUAAUAUCA
Long non-coding RNA from Nilaparvata lugens (brown planthopper), 1566 nucleotides. RefSeq lists it as uncharacterized. The record is from RefSeq and is a predicted model, not a curated record. The transcript has 5 exons. Lineage: Eukaryota; Metazoa; Arthropoda; Insecta; Hemiptera; Delphacidae.